This 461-nucleotide ribosomal RNA is filed under the name uncultured bacterium. Its description in RNAcentral is "bacterial SSU rRNA". It matches the Rfam family "Bacterial small subunit ribosomal RNA", at positions 331 to 792 of the family's 1533-position model. The record is from RNAcentral.
CCAGACUCCUACGGGAGGCAGCAGUGGGGAAUAUUGCACAAUGGGGGAAACCCUGAUGCAGCGACGCCGCGUGAGUGAAGAAGUAUCUCGGUACGUAAAGCUCUAUCAGCAGGGAAGAAAAAAAGUCCUUCGGACUUUGGGCGGUACCUGGUUAAGAAGCCCCGGCUAACUACGUGCCAGCAGCCGCGGUAAUACGUAGGGGGCAAGCGUUAUCCGGAUUCACUGGGUGUAAAGGGAGCGUAGACGGCGACGCAAGUCUGGAGUGAAAGCCCGGGGCCCAACCCCGGGACUGCUCUGGAAACUGCGUCGCUGGAGUACGGGAGGGGCAGGCGGAAUUCCUGGUGUAGCGGUGAAAUGCGUAGAUAUCAGGAGGAACACCGGCGGCGAAAGCGGCUCUCUGGCCUGUAACUGACACUGAGGCUCGAAAGCGUGGGGAGCAAACAGGAUUAGAUACCCGAGUA